GCCUGGGUGGCUCAGUCGGUUGAGCAUCUGACUUCACCUCAGGUCGUGAUCUCACGGUCCGUGAGUUCGAGCCCCACGUCGGGCU
RNAcentral lists this transfer RNA (85 nucleotides) under Felis catus (domestic cat). It matches the Rfam family "tRNA". Rfam says of the family: Transfer RNA (tRNA) molecules are approximately 80 nucleotides in length. Their secondary structure includes four short double-helical elements and three loops (D, anti-codon, and T loops). Further hydrogen bonds mediate the characteristic L-shaped molecular structure. tRNAs have two regions of fundamental functional importance: the anti-codon, which is responsible for specific mRNA codon recognition, and the 3' end, to which the tRNAs corresponding amino acid is attached (by aminoacyl-tRNA synthetases). tRNAs cope with the degeneracy of the genetic code in two manners: having more than one tRNA (with a specific anti-codon) for a particular amino acid; and 'wobble' base-pairing, i.e. permitting non-standard base-pairing at the 3rd anti-codon position. Lineage: Eukaryota; Metazoa; Chordata; Mammalia; Carnivora; Felidae. The record is from Rfam by way of RNAcentral.